UGUGCCUGCAGGCUGGCUGAGAGUCUCCUGCUCCGGCUGAGCUCAGCUGGGAGCUGGGGCUGCAGCUCUGGUCUUCGUCUGCUCGACUUUCUAUCACCUUCCUUGAGCCACCAGGCUGGCUGGGGAUGAUGCUUCUUAUGAUGAAAAGCGGGAGAACAGGAGGGGCAGCAGCAACCUGCAAGGCCUCUCACAGCCUGGCUUUUCUAGAACAUCGUCGGUUCUACCCACAUGCCAUUGACCACAGCAAGUCAUUCACGAUGGGCCAAUCGUCUGCCAGGCCUGCCUGCCUUUAGAGACGGACCCUGGAGAGCUGCCCUGCCCCUGCUGCCGUGUGAGGACACCAUGAGAAGGAACUGUCUAUGAACCCAAAAGUGGGACCCUCACCCGACAUCAGAUCUGCUGGCACCUUGAUCUUCGACUUCUCAGCCUUCAGAACCAAGGACAUGUUUGCUUCCCCUUCUGCCACGACUGUAAGUUUCCUGAGGCCUCCCUAGCCAUGCAGAACUAUGAGUCAAUUAAACCUCUUUUCUUCACAAAUUACCCAGUCUCAGGUAUUUCUUCACAGCAGCAUGAGAGCAGACUAAUUCAGGGCCCACGUUCUCUCAUUCUCUCACCUGGAAUCUGGGUGGGCUUGCAUUGGCUUUCAUUCCAUCCAGUAGGGCAGAAGUGACACCAUGUGACUUUGCAGGCUGGCUCAGAGAAGACCACGUGUCUUUCGCUACGUUUGCUCCGGGACCCCCUGAGCCAUCAUUAAUUGCCUAAAUACCCUGAAGGCUGAAGCCACAGUGCUGGUGAGACCAUGUGGUGAUACCACAUGGAGGCCCUGAUACCCACAGAAAGACAGGGAGAUCUGAAUAGGUGUCCCAGCCCAGGCACCAUAUGGAUGAGUGAAGAAGCUUCCAGAUGAUUCCAGAUCACAGCCAUUUGAGUCACCUCUACCCUUUGGGUCUUCCUGGAUGAGGCCCAGACAUCAUGGAGACAAACCUUAUCUUCUGUGCCAUACCCAAAUUCCUGAUCCACAGAAUUUGUGCAUGCAACAAUGAUGGGUAUGUUGUGUCACUAAGUUUUGGGUUAUUUUGAUAUAUAGCAGUUGAU
Callithrix jacchus (white-tufted-ear marmoset) is the source of this 1095-nucleotide non-coding RNA. The record is from RefSeq and is a predicted model, not a curated record. NCBI's taxonomy places the organism in Eukaryota, Metazoa, Chordata, Mammalia, Primates, Cebidae.